This 279-nucleotide ribosomal RNA is filed under the name uncultured bacterium. RNAcentral's name for it is "partial 16S ribosomal RNA". It matches the Rfam family "Bacterial small subunit ribosomal RNA", at positions 506 to 784 of the family's 1533-position model. The record is from RNAcentral.
UGCCAGCCGCCGCGGUAAUACGGAGGGUGCAAGCGUUAAUCGGAAUCACUGGGCGUAAAGAGCACGUAGGCGGCUAAGUUAGUUGGAUGUGAAAGCCCCGGGCUUAACCUGGGAACUGCACCCAAUACUGCUUAGCUAGAAUAUGGUAGAGGGAGGUAGAAUUUCCGGUGUAGCGGUGAAAUGCGUUGAUAUCAUCUGGAACACCGGUGGCGAAAGCGGCUCACUGGAUCUCUUCUGACGCUGAGGAACGAAAGCUAGGGUAGCGAACGGGAUUAGAUA